This 253-nucleotide ribosomal RNA is filed under the name uncultured bacterium. RNAcentral's name for it is "partial 16S ribosomal RNA". It matches the Rfam family "Bacterial small subunit ribosomal RNA", at positions 524 to 776 of the family's 1533-position model. The record is from RNAcentral.
UACGAAGGGGGCUAGCGUUGCUCGGAAUCACUGGGCGUAAAGCGCACGUAGGCGGAUUGCUAAGUCAGGGGUGAAAUCCCGGGGCUCAACCCCGGAACUGCCUUUGAUACUGGGUGUCUUGAGUGUGGUAGAGGUGAGUGGAAUUGCGAGUGUAGAGGUGAAAUUCGUAGAUAUUCGCAGGAACACCAGUGGCGAAGGCGGCUCACUGGACCACAACUGACGCUGAGGUGCGAAAGCGUGGGGAGCAAACAGG